Molecule: transfer RNA, 95 nt
Filed under: Nocardiopsis dassonvillei
Lineage: Bacteria; Bacillati; Actinomycetota; Actinomycetes; Streptosporangiales; Nocardiopsidaceae
Description: tRNA-Gly(gcc)
Source: RNAcentral
CGGCGCGGUGGCCGCCCUGGCCGGGCGUGCCGUUGCCGGCGGUGCGGUGCGGGCGGCGCUGGUAGUCCAGCAGGGUCGCGGUCUGGGUGUCGACC